GGGAUGGAAUGGAAUGGAAUGGAGUGGAGUGGAGUGGAGUGAAGUGGAGUAGAAUGGAGUGGAGUAGAGUGGAGUAGAAUGGAAUGAGUGUAGCCACUUCUGAUUCAGUCUUUUGCCCUCC
This 121-nucleotide microRNA precursor is filed under the name Chlorocebus sabaeus (green monkey). RNAcentral's name for it is "miRNA (ENSCSAG00000020991.1)". The record is from RNAcentral. Lineage: Eukaryota; Metazoa; Chordata; Mammalia; Primates; Cercopithecidae.